This 573-nucleotide ribosomal RNA is filed under the name Alcaligenes faecalis. RNAcentral's name for it is "bacterial SSU rRNA". It matches the Rfam family "Bacterial small subunit ribosomal RNA", at positions 304 to 887 of the family's 1533-position model. Lineage: Bacteria; Pseudomonadati; Pseudomonadota; Betaproteobacteria; Burkholderiales; Alcaligenaceae. The record is from RNAcentral.
CCCGUCAAUUCAUUUGAGUUUCCUACGGGAGGCAGCAGUGGGGAAGUUUGGACAAUGGGGGAAACCCUGAUCCAGCCAUCCCGCGUGUAUGAUGAAGGCCUUCGGGUUGUAAAGUACUUUUGGCAGAGAAGAAAAGGUAUCUCCUAAUACGAGAUACUGCUGACGGUAUCUGCAGAAUAAGCACCGGCUAACUACGUUCCAGCAGCCGCGGUAAUACGUAGGGUGCAAGCGUUAAUCGGAAUUACUGGGAGUAUAGCGUGUGUAGGCGGUUCGGAAAGAAAGAUGUGAAAUCCCAGGGCUCAUCCUUGGACCUGCAUUUUUAACUGCCGAGCUAGAGUAUGUCAGAGGGGGGUAGAAUUCCACGUGUAGCAGUGAAAUGCGUAGCUAUAAGGAGGAAUGCCGAUGGCGAAGGCAGGCCCCUGGGAUAAUACUGACGCUCAGACGCGAAAGCGUGGGGGGCAAACAAGAUUAGAUUCCUGGUAGCCGCGCCCUAAACAAUGUCAACUAGCUGUUGAUACGUUAUCCUUAAUAACGCAGCUAGCGCGUGAAGUUGACAGUCUGAAAGAUUGGCAC